UAAACGCGAAAUGUGUUGUGACUUGCAAUCUUUGUGAAACAUCAAUCUUUGAACGCACCUUGUACCUAGAGGUUCGCCUCUCGGUGUGCCUGUUUGAGUAUGGCAUUGAAGCUCACUCACUCGUCGUAAGAGAGUGGUGGCAUUGAGCGCGCCGGCGGCCGCUUGAAAGAGAGGGCGCGACCACGUGACCAUCCGGGGAUAGAUGAUCUGGACGACCACGUGACCGCGCACAGCUUCGGCACCACACACACGCAUCUCAAAUCAGGCAGGACGACCCGCUGAACUUAA
Molecule: unclassified non-coding RNA, 288 nt
Filed under: uncultured fungus
Lineage: Eukaryota; Fungi
Description: sequence contains ITS1
Rfam family: 5.8S ribosomal RNA (bases 1-103)
Source: RNAcentral